GAUGAACGCUGGCGGCGUGCUUAACACAUGCAAGUCGAGCGGGCAAUUUAUCUAGCACUGAUUACUUCAAAUGGAAAUCAUAAGUGUAAUCAUGAAUUUCUACCUUUAAUAAAGAAAAAAGAAAUUCAUGUACGCAAAUAGUGAUAACACAUUUUAGUGGAGUGAUGAGUGCUGGAUAAAUUGCUAGCGGCGGACGGGUGCGUAACACGUGGGUAACCUGCCCCUAUCACUGGGAUAACACACUGAAAAGUGUGCUAAUACCAGAUAACAUAAGCUUUUGGCAUCAUUAGCUUAUCAAAGAAUUUCGGAUAGGGAUGGGCCCGCGUCUGAUUAGCUUGUUGGUGAGGUAACGGCUCACCAAGGCAACGAUCAGUAGCCGACCUGAGAGGGUGAUCGGACACACUGGAACUGAGACACGGUCCAGACUCCUACGGGAGGCAGCAGUGGGGAAUAUUGCACAAUGGGCGAAAG
RNAcentral lists this ribosomal RNA (471 nucleotides) under uncultured bacterium. Its description in RNAcentral is "bacterial SSU rRNA". It matches the Rfam family "Bacterial small subunit ribosomal RNA", at positions 28 to 381 of the family's 1533-position model. The record is from RNAcentral.